Molecule: long non-coding RNA, 469 nt
Organism: Salvia miltiorrhiza (redroot sage)
Lineage: Eukaryota; Viridiplantae; Streptophyta; Magnoliopsida; Lamiales; Lamiaceae
Exons: 3
Source: RefSeq, a predicted model, not a curated record
CUCCAUCAACUCCAACACUUCACCCAUUCCUUCCAUUUCGCACCAGCAAUCACAAAGAGAAGGAAGACUUGGCUUAACUACUUUGCCAAGAUUUCAAGCUGCUCCAGUCCAGUAGUACCCCAACACUCGAAGCUAGAGUUUAUUGGGUGAAAAACCGUGCAUGAGGUCGAGCGCAAGAAUAAGAGCUCGUCAAGGAGUCACUAAUCUGUAGCAAAGCUUUGCUAUCAGGUUGAGCAGCUGCCGAUGGUGAUGAAGUGACGAGCGGGACUCUUUUGUCUUAUUAUGUAUUAAUGAACUCUAGGGUUACAUGUCUUCAUACAUGUAAUCAGAACCUUAUUCCGCUGCGUACUCAGAAGUUUUAUGUUAUUUUGGACAAGUCGGAGUUAUCCGAACUUGUUAGUUAUUUGAGUCUAUACGACAAAAACUCUGUUAUAUUAUAGAUAUCUAUGUUGUUAACAAUGAUGAAAUA